Molecule: ribosomal RNA, 1032 nt
Filed under: uncultured archaeon
Lineage: Archaea
Description: bacterial SSU rRNA
Rfam family: Archaeal small subunit ribosomal RNA
Source: RNAcentral
CCUAUGGGGUGCAGCAGGCGCGAAAACUUUACAAUGCUGGCAACAGCGAUAAGGGAACCUCGAGUGCCAGGUUACAAAUCUGGCUGUCGAGAUGCCUAAAAAGCAUUUCAUAGCAAGGGCCGGGCAAGACCGGUGCCAGCCGCCGCGGUAACACCGGCGGCUCGAGUGGUAACCGUUAUUAUUGGGUCUAAAGGGUCUGUAGCCGGCCGGAUAAGUCUCUUGAGAAAUCUGGCAGCUUAACUGUCAGGCUUUCAGGAGAUACUGUCUGGCUCGAGGCCGGGAGAGGUGAGAGGUACUUCAGGGGUAGGGGUGAAAUCUUGUAAUCCUUGAAGGACCACCAGUGGCGAAGGCGUCUCACCAGAACGGACCUGACGGCAAGGGACGAAAGCUAGGGGCACGAACCGGAUUAGAUACCCGGGUAGUCCUAGCCGUAAACGAUACUCGCUAGGUGUCGGCCACGGUGCGACCGUUGUCGGUGCCGUAGGGAAGCCGUGAAGCGAGCCACCUGGGAAGUACGGCCGCAAGGCUGAAACUUAAAGGAAUUGGCGGGGGAGCACCACAACGGGUGGAGCUUGCGGUUUAAUUGGAUUCAACGCCGGAAAUCUUACCGGGACCGACAGCAAUAUGAAGGCCAGGCUGAAGACUUUGCCGGAUUAGCUGAGAGGUGGUGCAUGGCCGUCGUCAGUUCGUACUGUGAAGCAUCCUGUUAAGUCAGGCAACGAGCGAGACCCACGCCCACAGUUGCCAGCGUACUCUCUGGAGUGACGGGUACACUGUGGGGACCGCCGCUGCUAAAGCGGAGGAAGGAAUGGGCAACGGUAGGUCAGUAUGCCCCGAAUAUCCCGGGCUACACGCGAGCUACAAUGGUUGGUACAAUGGGUAUCUACCCCGAAAGGGGACGGGAAUCUCCUAAAACCAAUCUUAGUUCGGAUUGAGGGCUGCAACUCGCCCUCAUGAAGCUGGAAUCCGUAGUAAUCGCGUUUCAACAGAACGCGGUGAAUACGUCCCUGCUCCUUGCACUCACCGCCCGUC